GACGAACGCUGGCGGCGUGCUUAACACAUGCAAGUCGAACGAUGAAGUUCCUUCGGGAAUGGAUUAGUGGCGAACGGGUGAGGAACACGUGAGAAACCUGCCUUUCAUUUUGGGAUAACUCCGGGAAACCGGGGCUAACACCGAAUACUGCGUCUCGGCGGCAGCGCCGAGCCGGGAAAAAAUUUGGAUGACAGAUGGUCUCGCGGCCUAUCAGCUAGUUGGGGAGGUAAGGGCUCAUCAAGCCAACGACCGGUAGCCGGCCGGAGAGGGCGAGCGGCCACCCAGGGACUGGUACACGGCCCAGACUCCAACGGGAGGCAGCAGUGGGGAAUAUUGGGCAAUGGGAGCAAGCCUGACCCAGCGAGGCCGCGUGAGGGAUGAAGGCCUUCGGGUUGUACACAUCUUUCAGUAGGGAAGAAUCGAAAGUGACGGUACCUAAAGAAGAAGCACCGGCUAACUAUGUGCCAGCAGCCGCCGUAA
This 480-nucleotide ribosomal RNA is filed under the name uncultured bacterium. RNAcentral describes it as "partial 16S ribosomal RNA". It matches the Rfam family "Bacterial small subunit ribosomal RNA", at positions 28 to 523 of the family's 1533-position model. The record is from RNAcentral.